ACGUAGGGUGCGAGCGUUAAUCGGAAUUACUGGGCGUAAAGCGUACGCAGGCGGCUGGGUAAGACAGAUGUGAAAUCCCCGGGCUCAACCUGGGAACUGCGUUUGUGACUGCAUUACUCGAGUACGGCAGAGGGAGGUGGAAUUCCGCGUGUAGCAGUGAAAUGCGUAGAGAUGCGGAGGAACACCGAUGGCGAAGGCAGCCUCCUGGGAUGACACUGACGCUCAUGCACGAAAGCGUGGGGAGCAAACAG
This 251-nucleotide ribosomal RNA is filed under the name uncultured prokaryote. RNAcentral describes it as "partial 16S ribosomal RNA". It matches the Rfam family "Bacterial small subunit ribosomal RNA", at positions 525 to 775 of the family's 1533-position model. The record is from RNAcentral.